RNAcentral lists this ribosomal RNA (253 nucleotides) under uncultured bacterium. RNAcentral's name for it is "partial 16S ribosomal RNA". It matches the Rfam family "Bacterial small subunit ribosomal RNA", at positions 524 to 776 of the family's 1533-position model. The record is from RNAcentral.
GACAGAGGGUGCAAACGUUGUUCGGAAUUACUGGGCGUAAAGCGAGUGUAGGCGGUCUUGUAAGUCGGAUGUGAAAGCCCCGGGCUCAACCCGGGAAGUGCACUCGAUACUGCGAGGCUAGAGUACUGGAGAGGUUGGUGGAAUUCUCGGUGUAGAGGUGAAAUUCGUAGAUAUCGAGAGGAACACCUGUGGCGAAGGCGGCCAACUGGACGAGUACUGACGCUGAGACACGAAAGCGUGGGGAGCAAACAGG